AGCGCAGGCGGUUCCUUAAGUCUGAUGUGAAAGCCCACGGCUCAACCGUGGAAGGUCAUUGGAAACUGGGGGAACUUGAGUGCAGAAGAGGAGAGUGGAAUUCCAUGUGUAGCGGUGAAAUGCGUAGAUAUAUGGAGGAACACCAGUGGCGAAGGCGACUCUCUGGUCUGUAACUGACGCUGAGGCUCGAAAGCGUGGGGAGCAAACA
Molecule: ribosomal RNA, 208 nt
Filed under: uncultured Trichococcus sp.
Lineage: Bacteria; Bacillati; Bacillota; Bacilli; Lactobacillales; Carnobacteriaceae
Description: partial 16S ribosomal RNA
Rfam family: Bacterial small subunit ribosomal RNA
Source: RNAcentral